UACCCGUCGACGUACACGAUGC
This 22-nucleotide non-coding RNA is filed under the name Arabidopsis thaliana (thale cress). Lineage: Eukaryota; Viridiplantae; Streptophyta; Magnoliopsida; Brassicales; Brassicaceae. The record is from RNAcentral.